GAAACCAUGGGGAACUGAGGGACUCCUCUGAAGGGGCCUGAGGCAGAGUCUGCAGGAGAACAGACACCUCCGAAAAAAAUCUCAGUCUGAGGGGCCAGUGGGAACUGAAGUAAGUGCAGCUCUGCGGGAGGGCUGAAUUGUGUAGAGGCAGAUGGCCUGCAGGGGCUGCUACAGAUGAAGAUUCCUACAACAUUGUGCUCUGCUGCAAGGGAGAACACUGAUGG
This is a long non-coding RNA of Chelonia mydas (Green sea turtle), 224 nucleotides long. RefSeq lists it as uncharacterized. NCBI's taxonomy places the organism in Eukaryota, Metazoa, Chordata, Testudines, Cheloniidae. The transcript is spliced from 2 exons. The record is from RefSeq and is a predicted model, not a curated record.